Long non-coding RNA from Bubalus bubalis (water buffalo), 1797 nucleotides. RefSeq lists it as uncharacterized. NCBI's taxonomy places the organism in Eukaryota, Metazoa, Chordata, Mammalia, Artiodactyla, Bovidae. The transcript is spliced from 2 exons. The record is from RefSeq and is a predicted model, not a curated record.
CCCGGUCAGCCAGCCCCGGCCGCCGGGCUCGCCCUCCCCGAAUGGAGCGGUCGGCUCCGAAAGGACCCGCUCCAGUGCCACCCGGAGCGCCCUCCAAGCCUGUACGCUGCCCGCCACCCCCGUUCCACCACGUGCUGGAGUCCGAGUAAAAGCCUGGGCGCAGAGGUCCCAGCCCUGGGUCCCGCCACGCGCUUCCCCAAGCUGGUAGUUGGAGCGCCUGCGGAGAGGGAGACGGGGCCCUGGGGCGAGACAGGUCCACGCGGACAGCUUCUCGCCGAGAGUUAGCCCCAUGGCAAGCACGCCCUCCUCGGAGGAACAGGCUUGAAAGGGGAGUGGGUCAUUAGGGAGAGCGGCGGGCGACCGAGGUGGUGUUGGGCAGACCCCUGCGAGGGGAGAGUUGUCCCCCCACAAUUCUUCUCUCCUAAGGGAGAGACUCAAAUGCAUGCAGCUGGAAGCUGUCACUGUAGCGUGCGGCCGGGUAGGCGACCCCACCGAAGAGGAAGAGGCCGGAGUAGUUGCGGCCGUGCACCGCUAACCACCGCCUGCCAGAGAGGAAGAAAAGGACGCCCCAGCCGGAGAAUGAAAGCAGCUGCUGACUGCCCUAGAGCGUGGGGGCCGAGGCCUCCCCUGGGUGUAACCGGAGAGCUGGGCACAAGUGAGAUCGCUGGAGACCCGACCCCACGACCCGGAGGCGGGCGCGCGGGGCGGCGGCGGCGCCAGGCGGGUGACCCUGGAGCGGGCGCGACUCCGAGCGCGUGGGACUGGAGACUGCUUUGCGGUGGGGAAGGGUUUUUCCGGGAGGUGUUGGGGCAUUGCUGCGUGUCUGUGCUGCGGGAAGAACGGCAGAGUCCCGCUGCACGCGGGGUGGCGCGGCGCCUCGGCCACGGCUGGGGUGGCGAGGUAGGGCUGGGGUGGCGAGGUGUGUUUGGGGUGCUGUAGAUUACCGCGGCCCCUCGUGGAGUCGCGGUGGCGGGGGUGGGGGGCCCUGACGACACGGUGAUCGAGGAUAGCGACCGGUCGGGGAAAGGGAAGCCGCUGGAUCCUAGCGCAGGGAAGGUGUGGUAAGGCGGUGAAGGGCUGUCUGUGAUCAGCCCACGGGAUUGCGCCCUUGAGGAAAUCCUGGGCCUAUUGAAUUAGGUGAUAAGACAAACCGCCUCUUCAGACUGGGGCGCCUCAGAGUCUGAGCUGAGUCUUCAACUACCCGGGUUUCUCGGGGCCUUGGGUUUGCCGCUCCAGCUGUCUCUGCCCCCAAGGGUGCAGGAUUCAAACUCGCUGCGCCACCUUUGCCGAAGUGUUGAGUGAGCUCUGGGUGCGCUUCCCGCUGCUGCGAGACAGACACUAGGUUGUACCGGGAGGGGUUGAGGGGCUAGAGGCAACCCAGGCUGAAGUCCAUCCUCAGGGUGCUCAUGGGAUCGCCGGGAAUGAGAAUACGAUGAAAGAGCUCUCAGUGAAAGGGCUUCCCAGGUGGUUCAAGUAAUGAAGACCCCGCCUGCCAAUUCAGGAGCCACUGUUCCAUCCCAGGGUGGAGAAGAUCCUCUGGAGGGAGAAAUGGCAAUCCACUCCAGUAUUCUUGCCGGAAAAAUCCCACGGACACAGGACCCUGGCUGGUGAGCGAAGGGAACUGGAAGAGUGACUGGACAAGAAUUAGACUGACCCUCAUGGAGAGGAUUGAGAAGAAAAAGAAGCUAAGUCCAUCGAUUCUUUUUAGGGUUAAUCCAAAACUGAGUCUGAUCACCUGUUUUUCUCUGAUCCUUAUUAUCAUCAGCCUUCCCUAUCAGAUAAACAGAUUAACCAGAA